This 645-nucleotide ribosomal RNA is filed under the name Salmonella enterica. Its description in RNAcentral is "partial 23S ribosomal RNA". It matches the Rfam family "Bacterial large subunit ribosomal RNA", at positions 1 to 688 of the family's 2925-position model. The record is from RNAcentral. Lineage: Bacteria; Pseudomonadati; Pseudomonadota; Gammaproteobacteria; Enterobacterales; Enterobacteriaceae. RNAcentral also lists the same sequence under 1 other name.
GGUUAAGCGACUAAGCGUACACGGUGGAUGCCCUGGCAGUCAGAGGCGAUGAAGGGCGUGCUAAUCUGCGAUAAGCGCCGGUAAGGUGAUAUGAACCGUUAUAACCGGCGAUACCCGAAUGGGGAAACCCAGUGUGACUCGUCACACUAUCAUUAACUGAAUCCAUAGGUUAAUGAGGCGAACCGGGGGAACUGAAACAUCUAAGUACCCCGAGGAAAAGAAAUCAACCGAGAUUCCCCCAGUAGCGGCGAGCGAACGGGGAGGAGCCCAGAGCCUGAAUCAGCAUGUGUGUUAGUGGAAGCGUCUGGAAAGGCGCGCGAUACAGGGUGACAGCCCCGUACACAAAAGCGCAUGUGCUGUGAGCUCGAUGAGUAGGGCGGGACACGUGGUAUCCUGUCUGAAUAUGGGGGGACCAUCCUCCAAGGCUAAAUACUCCUGACUGACCGAUAGUGAACCAGUACCGUGAGGGAAAGGCGAAAAGAACCCCGGCGAGGGGAGUGAAAAAGAACCUGAAACCGUGUACGUACAAGCAGUGGGAGCACCCUUUGGGGUGUGACUGCGUACCUUUUGUAUAAUGGGUCAGCGACUUAUAUUCUGUAGCAAGGUUAACCGAAUAGGGGAGCCGGAGGGAAACCGAGUCUUAAU